This 265-nucleotide long non-coding RNA is filed under the name Carica papaya (papaya). RNAcentral's name for it is "long non-coding RNA (CPAP_LNC014632)". The record is from RNAcentral. Lineage: Eukaryota; Viridiplantae; Streptophyta; Magnoliopsida; Brassicales; Caricaceae.
CAAAUUAGGCCCAGGGCCCCCUUUCGGCCAAUAUCGCAACUCCGGCACAGUGGCGGUUCGCCUCAAGUUGGCCGUUUUCGGCCAUUUUCGGCCGAAUUCGGCCACACUCGCAUUGGUUCCUGCGAUAAAACAACCCUACGGCCCUCGGGGGGCCGAAAAUUUACGGAAAAUCGAAGCUUACCGGCGGCGAUGCUCUCGGGUGCGGUGGCUCUCCGGUGAAGUUCGUGUUUUGGUGAUUCGGCUCCGAUCAACCUGUAGAGAAAAG